CGUAAUUUUUCGUUAGGUAUUUGAUCCCUACAGAACCUAUCACUAAAAUACCGGAUGAGUGGGAGAGUGGAGGGGCCGGCGGCGGCUGUCGGGACUCGGGAGGCUCGCCGGGACGGCAGCAAGGUGGCGGCCCGGUGUGUGAAGCGGCGGGCAGCGGGCACGCGAGGUCAGCCAGGAGAAGGCGUUGUGCAGAGAGUUGGGAGGAGAGCGAGCGGCGUCGUGGCGAUCUCGCCGGCGACGGGAGGAGGACGACGAGCUGAGCCGAAGGAGGGCGAGGCGUCCACGUGCACGAGGCUCCCCGGCGGAUUGGGAAGACGGGGCGAGGCAUCUCCGACGGCGUGGGCUGUGCCGCCGGGUGCCGUGCUUCCUCAGAUUCAUGUUUGAGUCGCUUCCCUCGACGUCGACGGCUCUAUGAUCAGGUGUGUUCUCUUCCUGCUGUGUGGCUAUGCCGCCUCAUCCUCCAGGUACUAAGCCACGAUGAGAUGUAAGUGUACUGCAUAUCAUUGCCGCCUUCCACAUGUUCGACGGAAUGCCCAACCACAUUACUCACACAAAAUUCGAUGGAAAAAGGAAGCAACCUGGCUUAUUAGGGCCAUUAGGCAGUUAGCCUCCGCAUUAGCUGGGUCAGCCUUUUGAAUGGAAAGAUUGUCUACAUUUAAUGCUGAAGCUAAAUCUUCUGAAUCUAUGUUUGUUUGAUUUCCAGCAGCUAAUCCCGGUUUGAUGGCAGUCCCAGAAACUGGAAAAUUAGAAGGCUCGGCAACUAAAGCCCUCUUAAAUAGGUCCAGUUGCUUGGAGUCUCCGACAACACUUUCUGAGCCAGUAGACUGAAAGUGAGCAUACCAAUUUGCAAAUGCCAUAGUAGCUUCCAUUUGAUUUGUGCUUUGAGAACCUGUUUUUGUUCUAAAGGAAUCAAAGCCUUUCGAUGCAAUAUGCAUCUCUGAGCUACUGGAUUCAUGACUUCUGCUAUACUUUUCCUGCACUAUAGUAUGAGUUGGAGGAAGAGCAGAAGGGGUGGCAGCUAUCUCCUUUUUCCUUUCAAUGGAAAAUGAGUCCAGGUUAACACCAGGCAAAUUUAGUGUGCACGCAACUGAUGGUUGUUUGUUGCUUGUGGAACUUCCAGAUAUUUUCCUAUUCUCUAGGGAAAAGUAAGUUUUAACUCCAGAAGAUCAGAUAAGACCAACCCACUCUUUGGUGUCUCCUUACUUUUAUUUCAAUCCGUAGAGUCGCCAUCAAAUUCUGCGAGAGCCUGAAUUAGGGGCAAAACAACCAUCAGCUACAGAUAGCACCAGGGUUAAGAUUCAGAUAUCAGACUAUGUAUCCUGCAUACCAGGGUGACUUUUACAAUGAAUGAAUAGUACAAUUUAUUUUAAAGUGAUCUGGCAAUAUUUCCUACGAGGGAUCUGUCGCACGGCCCGCCCAGCUGCACCCGGCGUUCACCGAUGAGGUGGACGAGAUGCGGGUGCUGUCUGUGUGCGAUGACGACGGGAAGAGGUCGGUGAGGUACGGGUCCCCCGCCCGGCGCGAGGAGGAAUGAGGAGACGUGCCAGCAGACACGAGCACGUACAAGCAGCGGCGAACCACAGCAUCGGAUGGCGCCGCCCUGGGUUCGUCUUCGGCGGCGUAAUGAAGGGGCUGCAGCCUGGCAGAAGGUACUUCUACAAGAAUUUCAUAUCAGGGUGCGGCCCUCUAGAUAGGAAGGCAUGGAUUCAAUGGCGAAAACUUCUAUCAGGAUGGGGACUCUCUAGGCGGGAUGGCAUGGACCCAACAGCAAGGACAUCAAUCAUGAUGGAUUCAACCAGUCUGCUCGAUCAUUGGAUGACAUAAUAUGCUUAUGAUGUGGGUUAAUGGAGAAUUAACUACACAUGGAGGUUUGAGGAAGAGCUGGCUGGGCGAAUUCGUUGGUUGGCUCAACCGGCGAACGAUACAGACACUCCGGCAAGAUCGAGCCAACGGCUGGAGGAUUUCAGGGGAGAUCGUACUGUGACUAUAACAAGAGGCUAAGAUUUCACCUGCGCUGUAUGUGAAAAGCAGGUUCAGGAGCUCCAAGCCAACAAACACCAGGGCUUUGAAAAAGAUGUAAGAUUUCUACUUUCUAGCUUGUCACAAAAUUUGUUGUCGCCUGUUAUUUUGUAUGGCAGUCAGGCAUGUUAUAAGAAUGACCUAUAGACCUAUUGUUCAGUUUUGUUUGAGAUAGAAUACAAAUUAUGCGUAGUA
Molecule: long non-coding RNA, 2214 nt
Organism: Triticum aestivum (bread wheat)
Lineage: Eukaryota; Viridiplantae; Streptophyta; Magnoliopsida; Poales; Poaceae
Exons: 3
Source: RefSeq, a predicted model, not a curated record